AUUGAGCGUCUGGACGUCUUAUUAUGAUCGCAAUCUAUACAUCGCAGCAACGUAUUAACUAUGUCGGUGAGAUGUAUUAACAGUUCCUCAGUUGUUCACGUGUCAUUUGGAAGCAUCGUUUAUUGAGUGUCUGGACGUCUUAUUAUGAUCACAAUCUAUACAUCGCAGCGACGUAUUAACGAUGUCGGUGAGAUGUAUUAACGGUUCCUCAAAUGUUUGCGGGUCAUUUGGAAGCAUCGUUUAUUGAGCGUCUGGACGUCUUUACACACUGUUGAUGUGAUGGACAGUGAAUCUGAAUUCUGCCCAGCAACAUAUUCGCGCCACAGUCGAUAAAGGAAGGGGGAAAAAAAGUUGCCAGUCUAUGAAGGGUUAGGAUGGAGACUUUGCUGCUGUCAAAUACCAUGUGGAAGAUCAGAAAACGUCGGCAGGAGGUGGGAGAAAAGGCAAUGCAGAGAUGAAGGACAUCAUACCACAAUAAUAGUUGUGUGUAUAAGCCUGAUCAACAAGUGAAAAGAGUCAGAUAAGAGGAAAGAGUUUGAAAACUGAUUUGACUGCUGAAUUGGCCUGCUAAGAGGAAGAGGCACUAAUGAUUCCAGAAGAGGAAGCCAAAGAAGAAGACCUACACAGACUUUGUGUCUUUAAUUAUUAUUAAAUCUUAUCCAUCUAUCAACAGUAAAUAUUUUAAUCCUUUUGAAGUUGUACUUAAGUUACAUUUUGUAUUCAAAUGUAACCCUAAUGUGCAAUGAAGAGAUAUACCACACGUCCUUCCUGCUGCUGCCAGACUUUAUAAUCAACACUGCUCCAAGUAGACUACAUGCACCUUAUCUGACAAUUUACUCACAUGCAACAUCAAUGUACACCUUUUUUAUGCAAUAUCAAUAACUCCUCUGUGCAAUACUGUGAAUACCGUAUUAUUAAACUUUCUGUCUGUAUACUGAACAUUUUUAACUGCUUUAUUCUUGCGUUUUUACUGAUGCUUUUGUCAUUGCACUUUCCUUUGGUGCAGUAUCACUGAAAAUGUCCUCCACUGUGGGAUUAAUUAAGGAUCUUAUCUUGUUUUAAAUUUUUAUAUGUUUGUAUUUUUCAGAUCUCUCAAUUACCAUGAUGACCAAGAUAUUCAACGGGGAAAUGUGGAAAGCUGCCAUAUUCCCAGACAUUACUUUGCCAAAUCAUCUGUGCAGGUUCACCCCGAGAUUCUGGACAUCACUGAAGGAGAGAGCAGAUGAACCGGGGAGUUUAGUUCAACAUUUGAGCUUGUUGUUUGCCCUACCUGAUACUGAAAAGGACAGUACUGAAGCUGGUGUCUCACCGAGUUGGCUCCACCUUGAGGGAGGCAGGGUGCCUGAUGAGCCGAUCCAAGGAGGACAGGAGUGUGUCGAAGCCUGGCCGGUCCCCUCGAUCAGCCUGCCAGCACUGAAGCAUCAGAGAGUGGAGGGCUGAGGGGCAGUUGUGGGGGGCAGGGAGACGAUACUGGUCUGCGACUGCCUUCAUCACCUGCAGAGACACUGAAAGAAAAUGAGGGGAGAGACGGAUCGGGAACGACAUGCAGCAGAGGUCUCCCGCUGAAGGCAAACAGUGGACGUUGCGGCUCAUGGUUGGUGCCACCAGGGCGCCCCAGGACUUCUAAUGGCGUGUUGUUACACUGUAGCAGUUAAACUCACACUUAAGCAGGAUUUGAGUGCAUUUCCAUCACUAAUUGAUUAUGACUUCCUCUGCUCAGGCAACAUUCUCCUAAAUACUCACUUCUUGAUUGCUCAUGUCCCAAUAUGGACGCUCUCCAUAUGACAUCACUUCCCACAUAAGUAUGCCGAAGCUCCAGGCGUCACUCGCUGAGCUGAACUUGCGAUGCUGAAAGGCUUCUGGUGCCGUCCACCUCACAGGAAUCUUACUGCCCUGAUGGAAGAUGAAUUUGUGAAUUAUAUUACAUUGGAACCACAAAUCAGGACCAUUAAAAACCACUCAAUUUUCCAAUUCGUACCAGUGAGGCAGUGUACGUAGGUAUGUUGUGGUCCAGGCCCCUCAUGAGGCGGGACAGGCCAAAGUCAGACACUUUACAGACCAGGUUGGAGUUGACCAACACGUUCCUAGCUGCCAGGUCCCGGUGGACAAAGUUUCUCUCGGAGAGGUAACGCAUCCCUGCACCAACUCCUCUGAGCAUUCCGAUAAGCUGGAGGACACUGAACUGGCCCUCGUUCUCCUGAAAGAGUUACGAGGGCAGGAUGGAGGGAGGGCACAGAAGAAUGGGAGAGGAGAGGAAGAGAGUUUUUGCUUUAUAGUCAAGUGAAACGUGUGCAGUACUAACAAAAUGCCAAAGAUGGAGACAGGGUGUUGUGGUCUCACCCGGAGGAAAGCGUCCAAGGGCCCGUUCUCCAUGAACUCAGUGAUGAUCCUCUCUGGGGGGGUACAAGUGAUCACACCCUCCAACUUCAGUACGUUGGGGUGGUCAAACUGUCCCAUGACCCCUGCUUCACUGAGGAACAUGCCCUUCUCUCUGUCAGACGCCCCCCAGCGUAGAGUCUUGACGGCUACCAGCACCUCCCUUCGACCCAGCGGACGGUAGCGGCCCCGAGAAACCUCCCCAAACUGGGCUGGAGAAGAGAGGAGGUGGAAUAGAUUACGCUGUGUUGAUACUUAUCACAUAGUCUCAUAUUGCCAGACCUUCCACCACUGCGCUGCGGAGGAGAAAAGAGAGAAACAGGCCUACCUGCACCAAUCACCUCCUCAAUCUUAAGAUGAGUGGGAUCUAUCUCACGGGCAAACUCUUUGACAGCCUCACUGGGGUCCUCAUAUGUGGAUGGGUCCACAUAAUACUUAACUCCACCUGGAAUAUAAAGGCAUGAUUUUAGACCUAACUGACUUUUUAUCCCAUUACUUUCCACAUUUAGAUGUAUUGUCCUGAUACUAGAAAUAAUCUGUUAGACUACACUACACUAUAAAAGAUACACAGACGUAGUGAAUUAUUUUACAUCUAUAAAACUAAUAUUUGUUAAACAAAUAAAAAAGAAACAAACCAAAUAAAAACCCAAACUUUGUUAGUAACAGAGCUUAAUUAUGCACUAUGCCUCCAAAUCAUAAACAAUGUUGUUAUAAUAGGUGGCCUUUUGCACUAAGAAAAUAUCUUGCUUUAAAAGAAAUAAUGAAUUUAAACUAAAUUACAUUAAAUCAAAUAUGCUAAUGCUCACCUCGGUUACUGAUGUACCUCUGCAGUCUGUCGCUGUACGGACUCUCUCUCCUCUUACUGCCAUGAAAAGGCAAAGAAAAUGCAGGAAUGUGCUCGUGAUUAAAAAAAAAAAAAAUCUGAUCAUAUGUCUGAUCAUGUGAAUGGAUCGACAACCUACCUGCGAAAUACCACCACGACCACAAUCGCUGCCACCACCAGGAGAAAUGCUGCACCGCCCAUCACUGACCCAACCAGCAGAGGAAGUCGAUUCUGGAUCUGCUGUGAAUGUUCCUCUGUGGGAGAGAACGUGAGAAAACCAUGAGCUGUUGAUGUGUCAUUGAGACAGUGUUUUUGUCUUUUACGGUUUUGAGAACUAGAAAAUUACAAACACUGUUGUUACUGUAACUCAGUAUAUUUUUUUAUGUUUGUUCUUUAAUGAGUACACUUUAAAACCAGCCAUUUUAUUUUCACUUACAGUAGAAUCUGGAUUGAAUAUCACACUCAAUUACAGACUAGCCCACAGUUUUUAAUUUGACUUGUAAAGUAAUCUUUGAGGAUUUCCUAUGAAGAUUAUCCCUGGUGAAUUAAAGUAGAGUCAAUUGAACUCAGGAAGCUUUCUAAUAAAAGAAGACGGUCAAACCACUUUAGAGAACAUCGUUGGAAAAGAGUUAGUUGCCGUGUUCAUACCAAGGUGGUCAACAUCACUUCUUCAGUAGUAAACUGUCUAUUACUACUCUUCCUUGCUGUAUCUCUCAAUAACUAGUUGAUUACUCUGUUCUAAUAAUAUUCAUCUGUCAUUUUACUCUCAUAAAUGAUCAUUUUCUGUACAUUAUUAAGGCCUGCUACCAGUGUUCCUGGUAUUACAGUAUUACAGUAAAUGAUUGUUGUACCCAGAGGCAGCGUGGUGAAGUAGAUGGUGUUGCUGUAGGGGCCGUAGCCCCGUUCAUUCCGAGCUCUGAUCUGGAAGGCGUAGAUGGAGCCGGGGAUCAGAGAGUUGACGGUCACCGUGUUGGUCUCACUGUACACACUCGCUGCACUGUCCACAUCUGAACCCUGAGGAACACAGAAGGAGGACAUUUUGUGGUGACUCUUAUGUGCCAGUUUGGGCGGUUGUGCCGCAUGUUUGCAUGUAUGUGUGCGAUAAUUCACUGAGUGUACCUUGUCAUAGUAUCUAAGCUGGUACUCCAGGAUGUCUCCAUUGGGCCUGUCGGGCUGAGGCCACGAGAGAGUGAUGGAGUCUGGGGCUCUGCUCAGCUGGUGCAUCAUAGGAACUGUGCUGGGAACUGUGGGAGAGAACAGGUUACUGAUUUAUGAGCUGGAAUAAAGUUCCGCUAAGGCCGGCUACACACUGGAUGCGUGGCGUGAGCGUGUCAGCUGCGUGGCGUGUGUGUUUUU
Perca flavescens (yellow perch) is the source of this 4555-nucleotide long non-coding RNA. RefSeq lists it as uncharacterized. NCBI's taxonomy places the organism in Eukaryota, Metazoa, Chordata, Actinopteri, Perciformes, Percidae. The record is from RefSeq and is a predicted model, not a curated record. The transcript is spliced from 6 exons.